AUUGAACGCUGGCGGCAUGCCUUACACAUGCAAGUCGAACGGUAACAGGUCUUCGGAUGCUGACGAGUGGCGAGCGGGUGAGUAAUACAUCGGAACGCGCCCGAGAGUGGGGGAUAACGAGGCGAAAGCUUUGCUAAUACCGCAUACGAUCUCAGGAUGAAAGCAGGGGACCGCAAGGCCUUGGGCUGACGGAGCGGCCGAUGGCAGAUUAGGUAGUUGGUGGGAUAAAAGCUUACCAAGCCGACGAUCUGUAGCUGGGCUGAGAGGACGACCAGCCACACUGGGACUGAGACACGGCCCAGACUCCUACGGGAGGCAGCAGUGGGGAAUUUUGGACAAUGGGCGCAAGCCUGAUCCAGCCAUGCCGCGUGCAGGAUGAAGGCCUUCGGGUUGUAAACUGCUUUUGUACGGAACGAAAAGACUCCUUCUAAUAAAGGGGGUCCAUGACGGUACCGUAAGAAUAAGCACCGGCUAACUACGUGCCAGCCGCCGCCGUAA
This 498-nucleotide ribosomal RNA is filed under the name uncultured bacterium. RNAcentral describes it as "partial 16S ribosomal RNA". It matches the Rfam family "Bacterial small subunit ribosomal RNA", at positions 30 to 523 of the family's 1533-position model. The record is from RNAcentral.